AUUGAACGCUGGCGGCAGGCCUAACACAUGCAAGUCGAGCGGAUGCAGGGAGCUUGCUCCUGGAUUCAGCGGCGGACGGGUGAGUAGUUCCUAGGAAUCUGCCUGGUUGUGGGGGAUAACGUCAGGACACGGGCGCUCAUACCGCAUACGUCCUGAGGGCGUAAGUGGGGGAUCUUCGGACCUCCCGCUAUCAGAUGAGCCUAGGUCGGAUUAGCUAGUUGGUGGGGUAAAGGCCUACCAAGGCGACGAUCCGUAGCUGGUCUGAGAGGAUGAUCAGUCACACUGGAACUGAGACACGGUCCAGACUCCUACGGGAGGCAGCAGUGGGGAAUAUUGGACAAUGGGCGAAAGCCUGAUCCAGCCAUGCCGCGUGUGUGAAGAAGGUCUUCGGAUUGUAAAGCCCUUUUGUUGGGGAAGAAGAGCAGUAAGUUAAUACCUCGCUGUUCUGACGGUACCAACAGAAUAAGCACCGGCUAACUUCGUG
This 484-nucleotide ribosomal RNA is filed under the name uncultured bacterium. Its description in RNAcentral is "partial 16S ribosomal RNA". It matches the Rfam family "Bacterial small subunit ribosomal RNA", at positions 30 to 507 of the family's 1533-position model. The record is from RNAcentral.